RNAcentral lists this non-coding RNA (29 nucleotides) under Mus musculus (house mouse). The record is from RNAcentral. Lineage: Eukaryota; Metazoa; Chordata; Mammalia; Rodentia; Muridae.
UCCCCAGGUUGCUUGACACACAGUCUGGA